GUGCCAGCCGCCGCGGUAAUACGGGGGGUGCGAGCGUUGUCCGGAUUCACUGGGCGUAAAGGGCGCGUAGGCGGCUUACUCAGUCCGGUCUUCAAGCGCGGGGCUUACCCCCGCGAAGGGCCGGGGACGGGUGGGCUGGGGGCCGGUCGAGGGAUGCGGAAUGCCGGGUGUAGUGGUGAAAUGCGUAGAGAUCCGGCGGAACACCGGUGGUGGAGGCGGCAUCCUGGGCCGGAACCGACGCUGAGGCGCGAGAGCGCGGGGAGCGAACCGGAUUAGAAACCCUUGUAGUCC
Molecule: ribosomal RNA, 291 nt
Filed under: uncultured bacterium
Lineage: Bacteria
Description: partial 16S ribosomal RNA
Rfam family: Bacterial small subunit ribosomal RNA
Source: RNAcentral